Molecule: ribosomal RNA, 720 nt
Filed under: uncultured bacterium
Lineage: Bacteria
Description: bacterial SSU rRNA
Rfam family: Bacterial small subunit ribosomal RNA
Source: RNAcentral
AUUGUAAACCUCUGUCUUCGGGGACGAAACAAAUGACGGUACUCGAGGAGGAAGCCACGGCUAACUACGUGCCAGCAGCCGCGGUAAUACGUAGGUGGCAAGCGUUGUCCGGAAUUACUGGGUGUAAAGGGAGCGCAGGCGGAACUGCAAGUUGGGUGUUUAAUCUACGGGCUCAACCCGUAUCAGCAUUCAAAACUGUGGUUCUUGAGUAAUGCAGAGGUAGGCGGAAUUCCCGGUGUAGCGGUGGAAUGCGUAGAUAUCGGGAGGAACACCAGUGGCGAAGGCGGCCUACUGGGCAUCAACUGACGCUGAGGCUCGAAAGCAUGGGUAGCAAACAGGAUUAGAUACCCUGGUAGUCCAUGCUGUAAACGAUGAUUACUAGGUGUGGGAAGAUUGACCCUUUCCGUGCCGCAGUUAACACAAUAAGUAAUCCACCUGGGGAGUACGACCGCAAGGUUGAAACUCAAAGGAAUUGACGGGGGCCCGCACAAGCAGUGGAGUAUGUGGUUUAAUUCGAAGCAACGCGAAGAACCUUACCAGGUCUUGACAUCCAACGACCGCCUAAGAGAUUAGGCUUUCCUUCGGGACGUUGAGACAGGUGGUGCAUGGUUGUCGUCAGCUCGUGUCGUGAGAUGUUGGGUUAAGUCCCGCAACGAGCGCAACCCUUGUCAUCAGUUGCUACGCAAGAGCACUCUGAUGAGACCGCCGGUGACAAACCGG